RNAcentral lists this ribosomal RNA (472 nucleotides) under uncultured bacterium. Its description in RNAcentral is "partial 16S ribosomal RNA". It matches the Rfam family "Bacterial small subunit ribosomal RNA", at positions 28 to 507 of the family's 1533-position model. The record is from RNAcentral.
GACGAACGCUGGCGGCGUGCUUAACACAUGCAAGUCGAACGCUGAAGCUUGGUGCUUGCACUGGGUGGAUGAGUGGCGAACGGGUGAGUAAUACGUGAGUAACCUGCCCUUGACUCUGGGAUAAGCCUGGGAAACUGGGUCUAAUACUGGAUACGACAUGCCACUGCAUGGUGGUGUGUGGAAAGGGUUUUACUGGUUUUGGAUGGGCUCACGGCCUAUCAGCUUGUUGGUGGGGUAAUGGCCUACCAAGGCGACGACGGGUAGCCGGCCUGAGAGGGUGACCGGCCACCCUGCGCCUGCGAGACGCACCAGACUCCUACGGGAGGCAGCAGUGGGAAAUAUUGCACAAUGGGCGGAAGCCUGAUGCAGCGACGCCGCGUGAGGGAUGACGGCCUUCGGGUUGUAAACCUCUUUCAGCAAGGAAGAAGCGAGAGUGACGGUACGUGAAGAAGAAGCGCCGGCUAACUACGUG